AGGGAGAGAAGGAGGAGAGAGAGGGAGGGAGGGAGAGAGAGAGAGUGCUGGACAGUGGAUGGGUUAAGGGUGAGGAAAACAGCUGUUCUAUUGGAAUUUGAUUGUUUUUUUAAUAGAUUAGCCAAAAGUAUGCUUGCCUUAUCAAUGGGGGAGGGAGAGGAGAAAAUUAGGAACUCAAAAUUUGUUUAAAACGUUUUUUACACAUAAUUGGGAGAAAAGACAAAACAAUUCAGAAGAAAGCAGUAUUAAAGAUAAAUGGAGUUAAUGCAAUAAAAUGAAAGCUAGCAACUGUUUAGGAAAACGCAGCAAGAUAAAGACAAUCUCAGAAUAAAAAUCGGCAGCUAGAGCAAAAUUUAUUCUUGGCAAGUGAGUCCCCCAAAAGCAGGAGUUGUAAGUGUGUUAUCUGGAGGAGGAAAACCAGUUGCAAUAUGUAGAUAAAAAUUUGUAACAAAAGGAACCAUAGAGAACAAGUUGUCAAUGUUCAACUUGGAUGAUACAAAUAUGAUGUUUGGAUUCAGGGGAAAAAUUUACUGAAUACUAACAAGAGACACAAAAUCCAGACAAAGGCGAAGAAAUCUCUUCUUAGUCUACCUUCUAAGUCACACAAGCCCUAUAGACUACAAAGACAUUUAAACAAUGGAGAUAUUAAAUUGUUGUUGUGCAGGCUUUUUAAAUUGACAAUUUAGUUUGUGCAUAAUAAGACCCUUCAGCCCAGAAACCCACUAGCAACCCCCACUUCCCUUUGGUGCUUUUCAUCUCCCUUCCUGAGAUGUCAGGGUGGUCGUGUUCAUCUCCUUUUGCUUUCACCGCCUUUCCUGAGAAGUCGGGGAGGGUGUGAUCUCCCCUUGAGGGCUCUGACCUCCCUGAGGAGUCAGGGAUGGCAUGACCACCUGUGUUCUAAAACAAAAGAAAGCAGGAGAUGUAAUGGGCUGAGGCUUGAGUUGAUGCACUGAGGUCCCAAGCACGUGAGGCUAAAUAGUAAUUGGGCUAUACUCUAUUAAUAUACGUGAUUAGAUAAAGAAUGGCCCACUCUCUGUGCAAGUCCUGAUGUGUUGUAUAGGAAAUGACAAUUUUGGUGGGUGGAGGCAGAGAGACAGGAAGAGAGGCUGGGAGAGAUUGGGCCUGGGUUCUAUUCUGGUGGCUGCUAAUCUUGUGGCUUCUGGUCUAGCUAAGCUUCUUGACUCGGCUGCACACAUUGCUAUCGCUGAUUCUCUUCCACCUCUGAUCUUUCUUCAUCUCCACUGAGAAUAAAAUUUGACGAUUUUCCCCUAACCUGAAUUUCUGACUCCAGCUGAUUUUAAAAUACGUGGUCUACAAAAGGUCAAGAAUAUCAAGGGAAAUUGAAAAAGGUACCUAAUGAUGCUGGAUCUCAAACUAUUGUUCAUUGACCCACUUGGGGUUUUCUUGGCAAAGAUACUGGAGGGGUUUGCCAUUUCCUUCUCCAGUUCAUUUUUCAGAUGUGGAAACUGAGGCACACUGAGUUAAGUGACUUGCUCAGGAUCCCAGCAGCCAGUGUCUGAUGGCAGAUUUAAACUUGGGGUGGGGGGUGGGGAAGGGGAGAGAGAGGGGAAAUGCAGGUGUGGUGCUCUAUUCUCUCUGCCAUCUGGCUGCUCCAAGUUAUACUACAAAAUAUUAAUCACCAAGACAAAUUAGUAGGUAUGAAGUAGGUUUAUCAUGGGAACAGAGCAGGUACACAAUAUGCUGAAGGAAAUGCUCAUAUUCUAGGGUAUGUUAAACCCAGCAAUCCCAGUCCAUGGGGGAGAACUUGAUAUUCAACAAAUACUGCUGGGAAAACAUUUAAGAAGUCUGAAAGAAAUCUAGGUCUAUAUAAAGUAGCAUGUCAUAUCUAUAUACUAAAAGAAACUCCAAAAAAGUACAUGACUGGCGUAAACAUUAGAGGAACAAGGAAGAAAUCCCCCAUCCUAUGGAAAAGCGGAGCGGUUUAUUAAAUUAAGAAAGCAUUCUAAAACCCAAAAUGAGUAAUUUUGAUUACAUAAAAUGGUUUUUGUGUUUAAAAAAAAAAAAAGUCAGUGAAGCUAGAAUGAUU
Molecule: long non-coding RNA, 2047 nt
Organism: Sarcophilus harrisii (Tasmanian devil)
Lineage: Eukaryota; Metazoa; Chordata; Mammalia; Dasyuromorphia; Dasyuridae
Source: Ensembl